GAAAUGCGAUAAGUAAUGUGAAUUGCAGACUUCAGUGAAUCAUCGAAUCUUUGAACGCACAUUGCGCCCCCUGGUAUUCCGGGGGGCAUGCCUGUUCGAGCGUCAUUUCACCACUCAAGCCUCGCUUGGUAUUGGGCAACGCGGUCCGCCGCGUGCCUCAAAUCGACCGGCUGGGUCUUCUGUCCCCUAAGCGUUGUGGAAACUAUUCGCUAAAGGGUGUUCGGGAGGCUACGCCGUAAAACAACCCCAUUUCUAAGGUUGACCUCGGAUCAGGUAGGGAUGCCCGCUGAACUUAAGC
This 298-nucleotide unclassified non-coding RNA is filed under the name plant metagenome. Its description in RNAcentral is "partial contains 5.8S ribosomal RNA, internal transcribed spacer 2, and large subunit ribosomal RNA". The stretch from base 1 to 105 matches the Rfam family "5.8S ribosomal RNA", at positions 50 to 154 of the family's 154-position model. The record is from RNAcentral.